Molecule: ribosomal RNA, 419 nt
Filed under: uncultured bacterium
Lineage: Bacteria
Description: bacterial SSU rRNA
Rfam family: Bacterial small subunit ribosomal RNA
Source: RNAcentral
UAAGGAAUAUUGCUCAAUGGGAGAAAUCCUGAAGCAGCAACGCCGCGUGGAGGAUGAAGGGUCUAUGACUUGUAAACUCCUGUAAAGAAGGAAAAAAUUCCCAUUUGAUGGGAGAUGAUGGUACUUCUGGAGUAAGCCCCGGCUAACUACGUGCCAGCAGCCGCGGUAAUACGUAGGGGGCAAGCGUUGUCCGGAUUUACUGGGUGUAAAGGGUGCUCAGGCGGAUUUGUAAGUCAGAGGUGAAAUCUUACAGCUUAACUGUGAAACUGCCCUUGAUACUAGAAGCCUAGGGGAUGGAAGAGAGUGAUGGAAUAUCUGGUGUAGCAGUGAAAUGCGUAGAUAUCAGAGAGAACACCAAUGGCGAAGGCAGUCACUUGGUCCAUUACUGACGCUAAAGCACGAAAGCGUGGGUAGCAAAC